AGUUGUAGUCAUGCAUAGACAAUGUUAAAUAUAAAAAUACAUAAAUAUCAUUCUCUAACGGUUUAACCUUUUAGAAUACAAUAAUUGUUUCAUAUGAUAUCAAAACGAAAAGUCCUGAAUUUGAAUCACGCCAGACACCUAACAUUAUUAAUUUUCUCCUAUUUAAUUCAAAUUUACGUCAUGGACCUUGCAAAAAAUUUCGAGCCCAAGUGUCUUAAGUUUUUAGAAUACAACAGUUGUAUCACAGACAAUACUAGCUUAGUUACUAGAAUUUUUUUUUUUCUUUCCCACAAUAAAUAUUGUUGUAAUUGAUAAUGAAUUGAGCUCCUAUACUUUUAAAACACUAAUUUAUUAGUGCUUGUCAAUUUUUGGCCUCUGGAUGAAGAUUUGUCGGGUUAAGAUAAUGGUCCCCUCUAGGGUUUAAUGGAUGGUAAGAAGAAUUAAUAGCAUGAUUUAAAAAGUAGAAUUGGUUAAAAUGAUAGAUCCAACGGUAGAAAACUUACAACCAUUAAGGCUAUAUUUGGUUUGAAGUCAGAAUUAGAAUCGAAAUAAGAAUGAAAAUAAGCUGGAAUCGAAAUCGGAAUGACUCAUUACCUUAUUCUAUUUGUUUCGCCAUGUGAAUCGAAAUCAGAAUGAACCAUUCCCAUUGCCAGUGUUUGAUUCAGAUAGCUAUAAAAAACGGAAUCAAAUUAAUAUACCAAUUUUAUCCUUAUAAUAAAGUUUAAUUAUUUCUAAUUAUUUUGAAUACUCUAUUUAAAAUAUAAAUGAACAACUUAUAAAAUAAUUAAUAAAAAGUAAGAUAAUUUUAUAUUGUAUAUUAUUUAAUAUAAAAAUGAAUUAUUUAUUAUUAUUUUUUAUAGUAAUAUUAUGUGGUAAUAUAUAAAUCACAAAAUAUUAUAUAAUUCUAAUAAACAGAAUACUUAACAAAACAUAAUCAUUUCCUAAAAAAAAAUGAAAAAGAAGUCAUAUUUUUAAAACAAAUAUUAUAACAAACUAAAAUUACGGUAAUAAUAUAAAAUUACCCAAAAUAAUAUAUCAUUUUUCAAAUAGUUUGAAAAAAAAUUAUUAUUAAAAUUUCAAAUGAAAUUACUCAAAAUUAUGAUACUGUAUAAAUUAAAAUAAAUUUCUAAACUUUUCUGCUGGAUCCAUUGAAAUUUGGAUUGAUAAGAUAAUUUAAAAUUGAGUUCGUAAUUCAAAACAUAGAAUUUUAUAAUUUAAAUUCAAACUAAAAUUAAAUAUUACAAAUUUACAUCAAAAUUUUGAAAUGAUGUCAAAAUUUUAAAUAUAUUUUUAAAAAAUUUUAAAAUUUGAAAUUGAGUGGAUAAUUCAAAAUAUAAAACUAAAUUUUGAUUUAUUUAAAUUCAAACUUAAAAUUUCAAUUUAAAUCCAUAAAAUUUAAUUUAAAUUUUAAAUAAAAUUUUAAAUUUUAAAUUAAAAUUUAAUUUAAAUUCAAAUUCAUAAAUUAGAUUCAAAAUGCUUGAUUGAAUUUUAAUUUUUAAUUCAAGUUUAAAUUAAAAUUUAAAAUUUAAAAUUUAUUUUCUAAAUUUAAACUUAUAUUUUAAUUGAAAAAUAAGAUUAAAAAUUAAAUUUAAUCCGAACAAAAUCCAUUUCGCCUAGAUUCAAUUUUGAAACUAGCAUCUUAGGCCGGAAUGGAAAAAUAGGCAAUUAAGGUAUUCUUGUUCCACUUGAGAAUCGGAAUGGAAUGUUACUCCCGCAUACUAAACCUCUAGAAACGGAAUCGUGUAUUCCGAUUCUGAUUCCGAUUUCGAUUUCUGGGUGAAAAAUGGGCGAACCAAAUACGCCCUAAGGGUUUGGUACUUUUAAAAGUACCAUAGCCAGACUCAUUGAUAAUUAUUAGUUGCAGUAAUAAUUAUUUGCCACAAACAAGAAUUAUUAUAAAUCGUUGUUAUAAAUCUUAUAAUAACAGCACACACUGUUAUCUAUUAAUCUAUUUCUAUUAAUUAAUUAAUAUUAAUAUCUAUGAAUUCUCAAUAUUAUUGCCACGUGGCAAGUUUUUCUUCACUUUCACUAAUCCUUUUUUUGAAUUAAUCUUUACUCUUUACUUUUUUCCUCCCCUUCUCUCUAUUCAAUGACCAGUAAUCAAUGUACUCUUUAAUUUAUACGUUUCUGAUUUUUUUUUCUCUUCAAUAGUAAUCCUUUCUUCUCCCUUAAAUAAUUUCUAACCAACAAAUUAAAAGAGGAGAAGGUGAAUAAUUACUACUUUCAGAUAUAGAGAUUGAGGAAGAGCAAGAGAAUCCUCCAAGUCCUAAUCCGUGCCAACCCGACUCAACUCGACCCUCCCCGAUCAAGAGAGUGCUUCUGAGUUUUCUAUCUAUGUCGAUCUCUUUGAAUUUAUGGAAAAAGAAGGUAAUUGAACGGCUUUUUCAGUAAAGGAAGCUAAUUGGACGACAAUAAUGUACGGAUCGAGGGAUAAGUUUGGGAAACGAAAAUCCUAAACCUAAUUUUUUUUCUUCAUUUUAAUUUCGAAUUCAUAUUAUGUAUCCUUUUUAGAAUUUAAUUUAUUUGUAUUAUUUUUGAUAUGGUGGUUGUAUCAAUCAAGGUUUUGAUUUAUAUGAAUUAUUUUGAUUAAUUUAUAAGUUAGUUUUGAUUUUAUAGUUGAUGUGGCAGUUCUGGCUCGCAACUUCUAACCAUCCCAUACCCAAAAGGGUGCAAAAUAUUGCAAACUUUCAUAAAGUUUUCAUCGCCAUCGUCGUCAUCAUCGCAAUAUUAUCAUCUCUAUUUUCAUACGACUAUUGCAGGUUUUUCUUUUGAAUGAUAAUUCUCGAUAGUUAUUUGUUUUUAACGAUCAUAUUGAUUAGUUCAAUUCAUACAUUUCACUACCAAAAAAAGCACAUUUGAAUUUUUAUUUUCCAAAGCUCUUUUUUCUUCCUCUUCAAUAUUUUUUAUUUUUUCUUCUAUUAUUUAUCCGCAGCAUCGCGCGAGUUACUACACCAGUGAUAAAUUAAGUUUUGAUGUAAUUAAAUUAAUGUACUCGAAUAAAAUUAUUGUAGGUUUU
This 3016-nucleotide long non-coding RNA is filed under the name Ananas comosus (pineapple). Its description in RNAcentral is "long non-coding RNA (ACOM_LNC033719)". Lineage: Eukaryota; Viridiplantae; Streptophyta; Magnoliopsida; Poales; Bromeliaceae. The record is from RNAcentral.